UCCAGUUACUCAGAAGGUUCACAUUAGCAGAGAUGUAAUUGUGAAUGAAGAAGAGAAAUGGAAAUGAGAGAAGGAACCAGUGUACAAUAGUGAAUUGCAGUCAACUUUCAUCUAUCCAAGUUCAAGUGAUGAAUCUGGUGGAGGUGAUGAAGGUGAACCUGCUGCUGAAACUAUUCAGAAUCAAGGUACUGAUAGUGAUGGUAAUAUGAAUUUAUCAAGUGAUGAUGAUGAUAGAAUUCAUAUGAUUGCAAGGA
Molecule: long non-coding RNA, 254 nt
Filed under: Trifolium pratense (red clover)
Lineage: Eukaryota; Viridiplantae; Streptophyta; Magnoliopsida; Fabales; Fabaceae
Description: long non-coding RNA (TPRA_LNC007896)
Source: RNAcentral